GGUUGGACGGCUUAUGCCGUUUUCAAGAAUGAGCUUCUUGGGUGGGAAGUC
This 51-nucleotide non-coding RNA is filed under the name unclassified sequences. Its description in RNAcentral is "Na+-I sequence". It matches the Rfam family "Na+ riboswitch aptamer (DUF1646)". Rfam says of the family: Proteobacteria, NC10, Acidobacteria, Verrucomicrobia. Lineage (Clostridia) The riboswitch of Na+ was first reported in a comparative analysis of intergenic regions and called DUF1646 RNA, it was also suggested that it acts as cis-reg RNA present upstream of Na+ genes. The record is from Rfam by way of RNAcentral.